AUACUCUGGUUUCUCUUCAGAUCGCAUAAAUCUUUCGCCUUUUACUAAAGAUUGGUGUGAUUGUGCUUCCAAACCUAACUGAGUCAUCAAUGCAUUGGUUGGCCUCUGCAUUUUCAAUAGGGA
Molecule: small nuclear RNA, 123 nt
Filed under: Myotis brandtii (Brandt's bat)
Lineage: Eukaryota; Metazoa; Chordata; Mammalia; Chiroptera; Vespertilionidae
Description: U5 spliceosomal RNA
Rfam family: U5 spliceosomal RNA
About the family: U5 RNA is a component of both types of known spliceosome. The precise function of this molecule is unknown, though it is known that the 5' loop is required for splice site selection and p220 binding, and that both the 3' stem-loop and the Sm site are important for Sm protein binding and cap methylation.
Source: Rfam by way of RNAcentral